Molecule: unclassified non-coding RNA, 221 nt
Filed under: Cercospora agavicola
Lineage: Eukaryota; Fungi; Ascomycota; Dothideomycetes; Mycosphaerellales; Mycosphaerellaceae
Description: partial internal transcribed spacer region
Rfam family: Eukaryotic small subunit ribosomal RNA (bases 1-46)
Source: RNAcentral
AAGUCGUAACAAGGUCUCCGUAGGUGAACCUGCGGAGGGAUCAUUACUGAGUGAGGGCCUUCGGGCUCGACCUCCAACCCUUUGUGAACACAACUUGUUGCUUCGGGGGCGACCCUGCCGUUUCGACGGCGAGCGCCCCCGGAGGCCUUCAAACACUGCAUCUUUGCGUCGGAGUUUAAGUAAAUUAAACAAAACUUUCAACAACGGAUCUCUUGGUUCUC